GGGCCGGUGGCGUAAUGGUAGCGCAUUGCGUCCGGACGCGAACAAGAAUGGUUCGAUUCCCUUCCGGUCCA
RNAcentral lists this transfer RNA (71 nucleotides) under Gongylonema pulchrum. It matches the Rfam family "tRNA". From Rfam's summary of the family: Transfer RNA (tRNA) molecules are approximately 80 nucleotides in length. Their secondary structure includes four short double-helical elements and three loops (D, anti-codon, and T loops). Further hydrogen bonds mediate the characteristic L-shaped molecular structure. tRNAs have two regions of fundamental functional importance: the anti-codon, which is responsible for specific mRNA codon recognition, and the 3' end, to which the tRNAs corresponding amino acid is attached (by aminoacyl-tRNA synthetases). tRNAs cope with the degeneracy of the genetic code in two manners: having more than one tRNA (with a specific anti-codon) for a particular amino acid; and 'wobble' base-pairing, i.e. permitting non-standard base-pairing at the 3rd anti-codon position. The record is from Rfam by way of RNAcentral. Lineage: Eukaryota; Metazoa; Nematoda; Chromadorea; Rhabditida; Gongylonematidae.